This is a long non-coding RNA of Artibeus jamaicensis (Jamaican fruit-eating bat), 1924 nucleotides long. RefSeq lists it as uncharacterized. Lineage: Eukaryota; Metazoa; Chordata; Mammalia; Chiroptera; Phyllostomidae. The record is from RefSeq and is a predicted model, not a curated record. The transcript has 3 exons.
CGCGCUGUCGGGCCUAGAAAGGGAGGAGGUUUCCCGGCUGGCGCGAGGCCUCCGUCUUCUUCGGGAGUGCCCUCCACUUCGCGCGCUGCACUGUGGACCCCCCUGUGCCGCGUCGUGCCCAGGCGGGCCCCGGCAAAUGCGUGUCCCCGGUGGUGACCCGCUGCCGCGAGGGGUUCCAGGGUUCCGGGUUCCAAUAGGCCCGGAGGGGAGAAGAGGAGUAGAGUCACAGAGAUGAGAGUAAAGAAGCGGUGUCAGGACACCUGGGCAGACUUCACCGCUAUGCUACCACCAAAGAGAGUUAGAACGCUGACCAGAGCAGCAGUGCUGCACUAGCUGUUUCCUAGCAACAGAUUCUUCAUGCUGAACUGUCUCACCCUGAGUUCAGAUACUAGCCCUUGCUGCAUAUCUUUAAAGUAACUUUAAUACAACCUGACCAGUAUGCCAACAGUCCAGUAAUGCCAGCCUUUGGACGCCAAGCUUGCAACUUCCUGGUGACAGCCAACUGACCAGGACCCUGUAAGGUCUUUCCCCUUACAGGAAGGGACUCCCUCUGUGCUGCACCCCCCCCCCGCCCUUUCAGGGCACCCCUGACCCAGGGGUAGGUAGGACAGCGUCCAUUUCCAGCCGGAAGCAGUUAAAACAAGAUGAGACCUUCGUCCAUUUUCCUUUGAGUAUAAAUCUGAAAAGAGGAAUAUUAAUACAGGGUGCAUCCAAAGUGGGGGGCCCAGAAAGGAUUUGGGAUAAAUUCCGAAGUUCAGGGUGUCCAAGAAAUAUUAAGAUGUCCUCACCCCCUAGGGGGAAAGGACGAGUAGAGCGAGGCCAUUGAGAGCUGUUUUCAAUAGCAACAGUUUUGCGGCUGACCUCUGGAGUAAUUUGACAUAUCUGUGGCCUUUGGCUAGUUUUAUAAAUGUGUUGAAUAAUAUGGCCAGGCUUAAAACUAAGAGAAUAAAGUCACUUACCCGGGAUAUAACUAGGAGCAGAGCCCCUGAAGGGAGAGGCCUGUAUAAAAGUUUAGAGAAAAUCAGCUCCAAGACAUGAGGAGAUAAGUACCCAGGUAAAAGAGGGAGCCACUCAGUUUAGGGCAGAGUGAGGACCCCUGCAGCUUUGGUAGAAGAGGCCCACACAGCUUUGAGAUUCCCCCUUUGGCCGCGUGGCCUAGAAAGCAGAAAGCGGGAAAGACUUUGACUGGAACUUGGUGCAAAAGAACUCUUGCCAGUGGACCGUGAGGGAAUGCUGCAUAGCUUUGGAUUGGCUAGAGAUCCUGCCUGAUACAGCUGAUGGUGCCAGCAACCUGAAGCAUGGAUGGGUACUCUUUCCUAAUUUACAGUACUCAGAGUUAGGACAGUGCAAGUAGAGAGCAAAGACAUGAAAAUAUUUUAGGUUAAAAAAAACUUAGUUUCUGACUGCUCUUUUGCAAUAAUAGAACUAGAACUAUAGAUAAUAGCGAGAGAAAUACCUGGUCUUUACACCAUCUGUAUUCUUUUUGUUCUAAAUCUUUGAUUGCUUUGUUAGAACUAUGUAAGUAGUUCUACAAAGAAGCAUAUAAUAGUCCAAAAGAAGAAAAAGGCCUCAGAACCCCUCCCUGAUAGUAGAUCACAGGAGGAGAAAAAUAAUGAGGAAAGAAACCUCAUUAAUGCUCUAAAUCCAGGAAAAGGGGGGACUUGUUUAUUCCUACAAAAAUAUAUUAUGCUUAAACAAGCAACUAGUGCCGUUUAGCAUAAAAGGGGGGAAUGAUAUGGGAAAGUUUGAAAAACCUCUGUUUAAUCUUUAUUUGCCCAGGCCCCAGGUGCCCUAGGGAGAAUGAUGGGGCUGUCUAGGAUAAGUAGACAACAGUGCAUUAGCUAGGACUGAGAUUAACACCCCUGCUGUUAAAAACUGACCUUCAAAUUUAGCCUUUGUCCUCUGCUUCUGCCCCAUAGCUAGA